Molecule: ribosomal RNA, 301 nt
Filed under: uncultured bacterium
Lineage: Bacteria
Description: partial 16S ribosomal RNA
Rfam family: Bacterial small subunit ribosomal RNA
Source: RNAcentral
CAGCCGCCGCGGUAAUACGGAGGGUGCAAGCGCUAACCGGAAUUACUGGGCGUAAAGCGCACGCAGGCGGUUUGUUAAGUCAGAUGUGAAAUCCCCGAGCUUAACUUGGGAACUGCAUUUGAAACUGGCAAGCUAGAGUCUUGUAGAGGGGGGUAGAAUUCCAGGUGUAGCGGUGAAAUGCGUAGAGAUCUGGAGGAAUACCGGUGGCGAAGGCGGCCCCCUGGACAAAGACUGACGCUCAGGUGCGAAAGCGUGGGGAGCAAACAGGAUUAGAUACCCGCGUAGUCCCUGUCUCUUAUAC